RNAcentral lists this long non-coding RNA (517 nucleotides) under Pseudonaja textilis. Its description in RNAcentral is "lncRNA (ENSPTXG00000019094.1)". Lineage: Eukaryota; Metazoa; Chordata; Lepidosauria; Squamata; Elapidae. The record is from RNAcentral.
CAGGAAGCCCCGCCAGCGGCCUCCGAGGGCCCCGCAGGGCGAGCCACAAGGCCGAGCAGGUCCAGGUGUCUGCUGAUCCAGGCUAUUUGGACACCCUGACUCAGGUUCUGGGGACCCUCCCACCCCCCCAAGGGGGCAGAAUGGAGUUAGAGGAGGGUUACAAUGGAAGUUCAGCCCUGGGAGCUCAAGGGGGCGCGGCUAUGUCCAUCAUUGGUGCAGAAGAUGAGGAUUUUGAAAAUGACAUUGAACCUUUCCAGCAUCCGGACACUCAAACCAGUUUGUUCCAAAACCUGGAGAUCUUGAUGAAGCAUCCUGCCUACCUGAUGGUUUUUAUACAACAUGUGGUGUUGCAGUUUGACUCAAGCCCUGUGGUGAGCUGACACAUCCUUGUGUGUGUGUGUUUUUUUACUGCAACUGCCUUAACUCUGUUCCUCUUCUGCACAACUUCCCUCCGCCCCCGCCCCCCCGUAACCUAGAAACUAACCGCCAUGAAAUGCCACACCCUCUCUCUACUGAA